Molecule: non-coding RNA, 105 nt
Organism: Octopus bimaculoides (California two-spot octopus)
Lineage: Eukaryota; Metazoa; Mollusca; Cephalopoda; Octopoda; Octopodidae
Source: Rfam
GCAAUACAUAGCAAUACAUGUAGUAAAAUUGGAACGAUACAGAAACGAUUAGUAUGGCCCCGGCGCAAGGAUGACACGCAAAUUCGUGAAGCAUUCCUUGUGUUU